RNAcentral lists this long non-coding RNA (344 nucleotides) under Cercocebus atys (sooty mangabey). RNAcentral's name for it is "lncRNA (ENSCATG00000045908.1)". The record is from RNAcentral. Lineage: Eukaryota; Metazoa; Chordata; Mammalia; Primates; Cercopithecidae.
AAUAACAAAGCUAACUAAAAUAAAUUUUUGUUAAAAGAAGGUAAUACUUAUUUUGUUUUUACAGGUUCAAGGAAAAGUCAGUGGAAGUCGUUAUCCAUGUCAACAUUGAACCAAAAGAAAAAAUACACUGACAAUCAAUGAAAAGAUUCAAGCGGUUGACACUGAACUAUCAGCUUGACUGUUUAAAUCAGGCAAAUGAAAAACUUCUAGGUGAAAAAUAUCUUUGCUGGCAGAGAUCUUCCUUCAGUGUGCAGAUUCCUAAACAAAAUUAUGGUUUUGUACAAAUAUAAAAAGUUUAUUGUGUUCUUCUUUAUAGAGACCAAAUGCUUAUGUGUCCAUUGAAG